This 590-nucleotide ribosomal RNA is filed under the name Trigonopterus sp. 469 MB-2015. RNAcentral's name for it is "eukaryotic LSU rRNA". It matches the Rfam family "Eukaryotic large subunit ribosomal RNA", at positions 706 to 1124 of the family's 3401-position model. Lineage: Eukaryota; Metazoa; Arthropoda; Insecta; Coleoptera; Curculionidae. The record is from RNAcentral.
GAAGGUUUUCCUAGUGAAAACCUAGGGAGGACGAGCGGUUCUACCUUUAAAAGUAGCCGUUCCGCACUCCCGGGGCGUCUCGUUCUCAUCGCGAGAAGAGGCGCACCAAGAGCGUACACGCUGGGACCCGAAAGAUGGUGAACUAUGCCUGGUCAGGACGAAGUCAGGGGAAACCCUGAUGGAGGUCCGUAGCGAUUCUGACGUGCAAAUCGAUCGUCGGAACUGGGUAUAGGGGCGAAAGACUAAUCGAACCAUCUAGUAGCUGGUUCCCUCCGAAGUUUCCCUCAGGAUAGCUGGCGCUCGUUGCGAACGAGUCUCAUCCGGUAAAGCGAAUGAUUAGAGGCAUUGGGGUCGAAACGACCUCAACCUAUUCUCAAACUUUAAAUGGGUGAGAUCUCCGGCUUGCUCGAAAACACGCGCGUGUGCGUACGAAAGUAAGCACGCACGCACGCACGCACGCGCGCGCGCGCGCGCGCACUCACUUAACUAAAUAGUGAAGUGUGUGUGUGUGUCGUCGUGUUUGUGUGUGUGUGUGUAGAUGAAGCCGCGAGAAUAUUAUUAUUAUCAWGUAAAAACGGAUCAGAGUGCCU